AUGGAGCGCGACACCCUCUCCUUCCUCGAGGCACGCUUCCACAAGGCCCAGAAGGCGCUCUUUGGAGAUGAUCCCUCGAGAAAGGCAGUGGUGACGACCCCGAGGGAGAGCCCUGCUGCUCUGCUUCCUGAAGUCGUGGCGGUGCUCGAAGAUGCUGUCGACGGGUUUGCAUCCUUGGUGGAAAGCGAGGCACGCUCACUUUCUUCCUCGGCUCUGACGUGCGUCUUCAGCCAUCUUUAUCUCCAGGAUGCCAGCUUCAACCUCUCCUCCUUCCUUACUCCGGUGGACGCCGACUCCCAGGAUGCUGCUGCUGCCGCCGUGAAGAGCUUCGUGGACGCCUUGCUGAGCAAGUACCUGGUCGUUGGUCCUCUGACUGAAGCCGGUGGAACGGGUGACGCGCCUGGCGACGAGGCUCUGCUGGCGGGCAGCGGUGAUACCCAAGUCUGA
This 447-nucleotide ribosomal RNA is filed under the name Triticum aestivum (bread wheat). RNAcentral's name for it is "partial small subunit ribosomal RNA". The record is from RNAcentral. Lineage: Eukaryota; Viridiplantae; Streptophyta; Magnoliopsida; Poales; Poaceae.